CGUGCAGUGUACGUGUCAGUAUGGAGUAGAUGCCUGGAGAUCUCGCCCUCUACUGAUAUGUCGUGCUAUCGAAAGAUCAAGGUGAGUAUUAUACCAUAAGGCAGGGAUACUCUGGAGUUGCAGAUCACCUUCCUCAUCUGCCUCAGUAUCAUGGCCGGGAGAUUCAGGGGAAUACCCUAAAUAAUAUGCUCCAUCACAACUAGAUCUCGCUCUGAAAUGAGAUCAAAUCUCCCGCUCUUCGGAAAUAGAAUCCUAUCAAUGAUGUUGUGCAACAACCUCAUCUCUGCAGAAAGAGAGCUCGCUAUAACCUGCUCCGAGAAGUCGAAGUCUUCAUUCUCAAGAAUUAACUGCAGGGCUCUCAACUUGUUUUCUGGCUUUUCUGGAGUUGCUCCUUCGUAGGGGAGAUGAAGCAACUCACUCAAACUCUCUUCGAAAACUCGAACCCUAACUCCUCGAA
RNAcentral lists this long non-coding RNA (457 nucleotides) under Phoenix dactylifera (date palm). RNAcentral's name for it is "long non-coding RNA (PDAC_LNC015116)". The record is from RNAcentral. Lineage: Eukaryota; Viridiplantae; Streptophyta; Magnoliopsida; Arecales; Arecaceae.